Molecule: ribosomal RNA, 252 nt
Filed under: uncultured bacterium
Lineage: Bacteria
Description: partial 16S ribosomal RNA
Rfam family: Bacterial small subunit ribosomal RNA
Source: RNAcentral
UACGGGGGGGUAAGCGUUGUUCGGAAUUACUGGGCGUAAAGCGCGCGUAGGCGGCUUUGUAAGUUAGAGGUGAAAGCCCGGGGCUCAACCCCGGAACAGCCUUUAAGACUGCAUCGCUAGAAUCCGGGAGAGGUGAGUGGAAUUCCGAGUGUAGAGGUGAAAUUCGUAGAUAUUCGGAAGAACACCAGUGGCGAAGGCGGCUCACUGGACCGGCAUUGACGCUGAGGUGCGAAAGCGUGGGGAGCAAACAGG